Molecule: non-coding RNA, 560 nt
Organism: Camelina sativa (false flax)
Lineage: Eukaryota; Viridiplantae; Streptophyta; Magnoliopsida; Brassicales; Brassicaceae
Source: RefSeq, a predicted model, not a curated record
UUUUGUUCUCAGUGGUUAGUCAACUCCUUAUCAUGUUCGUUAGCCGUUGUUUCUGCUGUGGAAAGCCUCUCAAGCCUGGCGGUUCACGCGCUCUUGCCCUCGUUCUCUUCAUUGUCAGCUGGAUGUUCUUCUUGAUAGCAGAGAUAUGUCUAUUAGCUGGAUCGGUGGAGAAUGCAUACCACACAAAGUACAGGACAAUGUUCAUGGACAAUCCUCCUGAUUGUCAAACUCUUCGUAAGGGGGUCUUCGCAGCCGGAGCCUCAUUUGUCUUCUUCAACGCUAUUGUCUCUCAAUUUUACUAUUUCUUCUAUUCAUCGGCUGCUGAGGCCUCCCUUUCACCUUACUAAUAAUUCUUAACCAACACACAUAAGUUUUUUUUGUUUUUUCCUUGUGCUAUGUGAUAUGCUAAUAUCAUAUUUUCUGCUUGUUUAUGUAUGACUGCAAACUUAUUUGAAACUGAGGGUACAACUAUGUGUUUUGUAGAUUGAUUUGUAUGGAUAUUUUUUUUGGUUUAAUGUCAAUUUUUGUAUGGUUAUUAAAUGAAAAUGUUGUUUUUAAUA